Molecule: long non-coding RNA, 6662 nt
Filed under: Setaria viridis
Lineage: Eukaryota; Viridiplantae; Streptophyta; Magnoliopsida; Poales; Poaceae
Description: long non-coding RNA (SVIR_LNC004601)
Source: RNAcentral
CCAAUCACUCGGGCCCGUGCGAGAGAAUUAAACUUCAUCAUGCUGUUAAGGAAUGAAGGCCCAGCAGAAUAAGAAGAUGGCCCAACAGGGCAGCCCAGGUGGGGCGCCUAGGGUUGGAAGCCGCGACCCUCCCCCUGGUCGCGCGCGCCCCCCUCCUGCCGUUGCGCCUCCUCCGGACUCCAGGGGCUGCGCCCCCUUUAUUUAGUCAGAGUCCCUUUUGUUUACGACUUGAGUUUUGUUUUAUAUCUAGCUUUAGCUACUCUCGAACACGCGCAAAUACGCGCUGUCCUUGUGUGAUUCAGAACUCCACCUUCGAGUGAUAUUUAGAUUGCUCGCCUCUCUUUCUUGUUCGUUCUUCGAUUGCGGAAAGGAAUCGAUCUUUGUGAUCAGGCUGAUCUUGCGCUGGCAAGGUUGGUAACCACAGGAAGUUGGUUCAGCGAUUGCAUUGGCGCUUCGGGUUCGCUCGUCGUAGUCGGAUCGUGAGGGUCUACUUCCACCAAGUCGAAUUUAUCUCCACUCACCGAAAGAUCAGGCAUUCCAACUCUAUCAAGUGGUAUCAGCUUUCCAGGUUGAUCGGUGAGUUUUACCGAGUGUUUUUCCCUUCCUACAGUCCACAAAAACCAAAACAAAUUUUUUUCAGGUUAGAUCCUUGUCCCAGCAACCGUUUAGCCUCGCACAUUCUUUCAAUAAGUGUCUUUGUUGAAUUUGUGUGCCUACUCGUUCAAUUGUUGCUGGUUACUUGUGUUUAAUCUCUUGUUUCUUAUUUUUCGUCUAACCCUAGUUUUCGCCGCCGCCGUUCCGCUGCUCGCCAAUCCUACCACGCCACGCCCACCGUCCCCCCUCGCGACAACCGCGCCGCGCCAUCCCACCCCUCCGAUCGCCCCCUCCCCUGUCCAAAAAAAAAGGUAGAAAGCACUCAAAAACAAAAAAAAGGGAAAGUGCAAAAAAAAAAAGGAAAGAAGCAAACAAGAAAAAGAAUCCUACAGGGAGAAGGAAGGGUGAUCCGGUUUUGUUUCGGUGGAAACUCCCCUUGCGCGUGCCGUGAACCCCCCUGGUUCACGACCCUCCGGGGCAACUCCGCACCCCCCCCCACGCAUACCGCGCCCUUCCCCACACACCCCGUGCCAGCUUUUCAUAUCCAUAUCUCUCUUUCUUGGUACUUUUUUUCUAAGGUUCACCUUACUCUAGAGAGAGAGAGAGUGCCGCAAUUUGCUGUUUGAGAUCCUCUGUGUUCAUAUUAUCAGUUUUGGGGCACCCUACAAAAAAAAGAAAAAAAAGAAAAAACAAACAAGGUGCGCCCUCUCCACCUUUGCCUCUGUUCUUUCGGUUUCCCUUGUUACCAGCAACUCUUGUUACGUGUUUGGCACUAUAAUUCAACUUUGCAUUAUUGUUUGAUUGUGCUAAUCCUUCAUUUGAGUGCAGCCUUCCCAGAACUCCACAUAGUUCUACGACGAGCAUAUCUUGUUUCUCCAGGCAAUCGCUCCUCCAAUCUUUCGCGAGUUCCACCGGUUGGUUGCAGUUCGCCCCUGUGUGCGUGGUAAGAACGGAUCAGAAUUUGAUAACAGCACUAGUGUGAGCGCCUUGUGAGCCGUUACACCCCUGUUUUGUCGUCGCUUUUGUUCUUGUAUUUGCGCUAACCAUGGCAGAUGAUGUCGACGCGGGGGAUAACCAGCUGCAGGGCAUACGGGCACAAGUUGAAGGGCUUGUCACCGACAUUCAGACGAUUCAUGAACGGCUGGACUCGACGAUCUCCUCGACGACCGAGCGGUGCGAUCAGCUAGACCUUGCACAGACGGCCGCUAAGGCCACACUCGACACACUUGUGGCAAGACUCGAUGCGUUGCACACAACAGUCACAGAGUUGCAGCAGGGUUAUGGUGGUGACUCGGACCAGGACGAUGGCGACCGCCGAGGCCGUGCCCGCCGCAUGCCACGCCGUCCCGGUAAUGAUUCCUUUUCCAAGAUUAAAUUUAAAAUUCCACCUUUUAAUGGCAAAUGUGAUCCUGCUGCAUAUCUUGAUUGGGAAUUAGAAGUUGAACAAAAAUUUUCAUGCCAUGAUAUUCUUACUAAUUCACAAGUUAAAGCUGCUAUUAGUGAAUUUACUGAUUUUGCUUUAAUUUGGUGGCGUGAAUAUAAACACAAACAUCCCAAUACCAUUCCAACCACUUCGGAUCAAUUAAAAGCUGCUAUGCGCCACUGAUUUGUACCUUCUUAUUAUGCCCGAGAUUUGCUUAAUAAAAUGCAACAUUUUCAGCAAGGUUCCAAAUCUGUUGAGGAAUAUUUCCAGGAAUUACAAAUAGGCAUGAUUCGUUGUGGGUUAUUGGAGGAAAACGACGCUGCUAUGGCACAUUUUCGUGGUGGUUUGAACCGCGAAAUUCAGGAUAUACUUGAUUAUAAGGACUACACAGAUAUGACAACAUUAUUUGAAUAUGCUUGCAAAUCUGAACGUGAAGUGCAGGGACGUCGCUCGAAGACAUAUUCUAACUCUUUUGCAGGAAGAAGCUCGACAUCCAACUCCGCACCCGCUCUCCCUGCGCCACCCACGCCCUCCACUACACCGCACGAGAGAACGGCCAAACCUGCAAGCGCUGCCCCUUCCACAGGCGCUGCCCCUCCCACAGGCCGUACACGGGAUAUUCAAUGUCAUCGUUGCAAAGGAUUUGGCCACGUGUUUCGGGACUGUCCGAACAAGCGAACGUUGCUUCUUUGUGAUGAUGGUGAGUACUCUUCCGCUAGUGAUUCUGACGAUACUCAACAUGCGAUGCUUGCCACUGACCAUGCAGCUAUGGAGGUACAUGUCAACCCGGGCGACGCUGAUAGGUAUGAAAGUCUUGUUGUGCAGCGUGACCUUAGUACACAGGUCGCUCCGUCCGAGAAGAAUCAGCGACACACUCUUUUCCAUACCAAGGGCGUUGUGCAGGAGCGGUCGAUUCGCAUCAUCAUCGACAGCGGCAGCUGCAACAAUUUGGCGUGUACCACGCUGGUUGAUAAGUUGUCUUUACCCACUCGUAAGCAUCCAAAUCCAUAUCACAUUAAAUGGCUUAAUGAUGGUGGGAAAAUUAGAAUUACUCGAUCAGUCCGUGUUCCUUUCUCCAUGGGUGCUUAUUCUGAUUUUGUCGAUUGUGAUGUUAUUCCCAUGGAAGCAUGCUCUCUGUUACUUGGGCCACCUUGGCAAUAUGAUACUAAUAGCUUGCAUCAUGGUCGUUCAAAUCACUAUUCUUUCAUGUUUAAGGGUCAGAAAAUAAUUAUACAUCCAAUGACACCUGAACAAAUUCUUAAAGAUGAUCUUGCUAGAGCUGCUAAAACUGCUAAACAACUUGAACCAUCGACAUCUGUUAAUUCUGAAAUCAAGUUGAAUGCUCCUGUUUUGCUUGCUACACGUGCUGAUUUUGAUGAGUUACGCGAUGCUCCUUUGCCAUGCUAUGCCCUUAUAUGCUCUAGUGUGCUUGUUUCACUUGAUGAUACACCAUCUUUGGAUAUUCCCCCUGUGGUUGCUAACAUUUUGCAGGAGUACGCUGAUGUCUUUCCAAAAGAUUUGCCACCGGGACUCCCACCACUUCAUGGCAUUGAGCACCAGAUCGACCUCAUUCCCGGCGCACAGCUUCCGAACCGCGCACCAUACCGUACAAAUCCGGAUGAGACGAAGGAAAUCCAGCGCCAGGUACAGGGGUUGCUUGACAAGGGUUAUAUUCGUGAGUCUCUUAGUCCUUGCUCCGUUCCCGUGUUACUUGUUCCAAAGAAAGAUGGCUCAUGGCAUAUGUGUGUAUACUGUCGUGCUAUUAAUAACAUUACCAUUCGCUACCGAUACCCUAUACCACGCCUUGAUGAUAUGCUAGAUGAGCUUAGUGGUGCCAUUAUUUUCACUAAGAUUGAUUUGCGUAGUGGCUACCAUCAGAUUCGCAUGAAAUUAGGUGAUGAAUGGAAAAUGGCUUUUAAAACGAAAUUUGGGUUAUAUGAAUGGUUGGUUAUGCCGUUUGGUUUGACAAAUGCUCCCAGCACAUUUAUGCGUUUGAUGAAUGAAGUUCUGAGGCCCUUCAUAGGAUUGUUUGUAGUUGUCUAUUUUGAUGAUAUCCUCAUUUACAGCAAGUAUAUGGAAGAGCAUUUAGAUCAUUUGCGUGCUGUUUUUGAUGCGUUGCGUGCGGCCCAUUUAUUUGCUAACCUCGAAAAAUGCAUGUUUUGCACACAACGUGUCUCGUUUCUUGGCUAUGUUGUUACUCCACAGGGCAUUGAGGUGGAUAGCAGCAAGAUCGAUGCCAUUCGGGAGUGGCCUACACCGACGACGGUCACACAAAUUCGAAGCUUUCUUGGCCUUGCAGGUUUCUACCGCCGGUUUGUUCGUGAUUUUAGCUCCAUUGCAGCGCCUCUACAUGAGCUUACAAAGAAGUAUGUUCCUUUUGCUUGGAGUGAUUCGCAAGAGGUUGCAUUCAGCACCUUGAAAGAUAAGUUAACCAAUGCUCCUCUCUUGCAAUUGCCUGAUUUUACUAAAGUGUUUGAGCUCGAAUGCAAUGCUAGUGGUAUUGGGCUAGGUGCUGUUUUGUUACAAGAAGGAAAACCGGUUGCUUACUUUAGCGAGAAAUUAAGUGGUGCUAGCUUGAAUUAUUCUACUUAUGAUAAGGAGCUUUAUGCUUUAGUGCGCACUUUGCAUACUUGGCAGCACUACCUUUGGCAUCGCGAGUUUAUAAUUCAUUCUGAUCAUGAGGCUUUAAAACAUAUUCGUACCCAAACAAACCUGAACCGUCGUCAUGCUAAAUGGGUAGAAUUCAUUGAGUCUUUCCCUUACAUUAUCAAACACAAGAGCGGGAAGGAAAAUGUCAUUGCUGAUGCUUUGUCUCGUCGCUAUACCAUGCUAUCACAGUUAGAUUUUAAAAUCUUUGGCUUGCAAACUGUGAAGGAUCAAUAUGUGGAUGAUGCUGAUUUUACAUUGAGUCUUUCCCUUACAUUAUUAAAGAUGCUUUCGCCCAUUGUAUUCAUGGCAAACCAUGGGGAAAAUUUCACAUAUAGGACGGGUUCCUGUUUCGCGCUAACAAGCUGUGUGUUCCAGCUAGCUCGGUUCGUCGUUUGUUGUUACAGGAAGCGCAUGGAGGCGGACUCAUGGGGCACUUUGGCGUCUACAAGACGCAUAAAGUGCUAGCUGCCCACUUCUUUUGGCCCCGGAUGCGCGUUGAUGUUGAGCGCCUUGUUGCACGUUGCACUACUUGCCAGAAAGCUAAGUCACGAUUGAACAACCAUGGUUUGUACAUGCCUUUGCCUGUUCCUACUUCCUCUUGGCUUGAUAUUUCUAUGGACUUUGUUUUGGGAUUGCCUAGAACUAAGAAGGGGAGGGACAGUAUUUUUGUGGUUGUUGAUCGUUUCUCCAAAAUGGCUCAUUUUAUACCUUGUCAUAAGACUGAUGAUGCUAGCAAUAUUGCUGAAUUGUUCUUUCGCGAGAUUAUUCGUUUGCAUGGUAUUAUAAAUACAAUAGUCUCUGAUCAUGAUGCUAAGUUUCUCAGUCAUUUUUGGAGAUCACUGUGGAAUAAAAUGGGAACUAAAUUGCUGUUUAGCACCACUUGUCACCCUCAAACUGAUGGACAAACUGAGGUGGUUAAUCGAACCUUGUCCACCAUGCUUAGGGCUGUUUUAGAUGAACACUUGAAACGUUGGGAAGAUUGCUUGCCUCAUGUUGAGUUUGCUUAUAAUCAUGCAACGCAUUCUUCUACAAAGAUGUGUCCCUUUCAGGUUGUUUAUGGUUAUAUUCCUUGGGCGCCUAUUGAUUUGUUUGCACUUGAUGCCGAGGAUGCCCCACACAUAGAUGCCGCUGCACAUGUUGAUCAAAUGAUUAGCUUGCAUGAGCAAACUCAACAAAACAUUGCUGCUGCUAAUGCUAAAUAUCAGGUUGCGGGUAGUAAAGGGAGAAAACAUGUUACUUUUGCACCGGGUGAUCUGGUUUGGUUGCAUUUGAGAAAGGAUCGUUUUCCUACUUUACGUCGUUCUAAAUUGAUGCCACGUGCUGCUGGUCCUUUUAAAGUGCUAACCAUGAUUAAUGAUAAUGCUUAUAUCCUUGACCUGCCUGCGGAGUUUGGUGUUUCCACGAGUUUUAAUGUUGCAGAUUUGAAACCGUAUGUGGGCGAAGAUGAGGAGUUGCCAUCGAGGACGACUUCAGUUCAAGAAGGGGAGGAUGAUGAGGACACCACGAGUACAUCUACACCAGCAGCACCUCAGGUGCCUCCAGUUGCUCCUCCACCUCAGGCGCCUACAGUUGAUCAUCCAGUUGGGCCAAUCACUCGGGCCCGUGCGAGAGAAUUAAACUUCAUCAUGCUGUUAAGGAAUGAAGGCCCAGCGGAAUAAGAAGAUGGCCCAACAGGGCAGCCCAGGUGCGGCGCCUAGGGUUGGAAGCCGCGGCCCUCCCCCUGGUCGCGCGCCCCCCCUCCUGCCGUCGCGCCUCCUCCGGACUCCAGGGGCUGCGCCCCCUUUAUUUAGUCAGAGUCCCUUUUGUUUACGACUUGAGUUUUGUUUUACAUUUGGCUUUAGCUACUCUCGAACACGCACAAAUACGCGCUGUCCUUGUGUGAUUCAGAACUCCACCUUCGAGUGAUAUUUAGAUUGCUCACCUCUCUUUCUUGUUCGUUCUUCGAUUGCGGACAGGAAUCGAUCUUCGUGAUCAGGCUGAUCUUGCGCUGGCAAGG